AGAAAUACCCGCGUGCCAGAGGCGAGCGCCCGCCACGCAGCCGGCCAGAGUAGCCUGGGGACUGUCACUCCUCCUCUGUGGCACGUCCUUGUAGAUACUCAGGUUCGGGGGAGAGAUAUCACAGCUUCUUUGAAGUCAGCUUCAGCAUUUGCAUAUUCCACCCAGCUGCAAGGAAUCUCAGAGAAGCCAGCAGCCAGCUCUGAUUUGACGCGUCUCUAGAAUAAUUGCUAGGAAUCAUUCCUGCAGAAAUGCUUGGACGAGGAUUUUUCACAGGAGCACGGAAUGUAAUGAAGAUAAAAACUAGAUCAUGACAAUAAAACCCAAAAUGACUCA
Molecule: long non-coding RNA, 333 nt
Organism: Jaculus jaculus (lesser Egyptian jerboa)
Lineage: Eukaryota; Metazoa; Chordata; Mammalia; Rodentia; Dipodidae
Exons: 3
Source: RefSeq, a predicted model, not a curated record